AUCAUAUAUAUAUAUAUAUAUAUAUAUAUAUAUAUAUAUAUAUGUUAUAUAGUGUAACCUAGAUGUUUUUAGAUUUCUAAAUAUGUUCAAGUUGAAUUAUGUCACAUCAUGCAUCCUGGUAAUAGCAAAUUCUGGGUUCAAGAGGACUUGCCUAAACAGCCUCUGAUUCUAUGUGAAUCCAUCAGACUGUACAUUUUGGGAUCUUGUUCAUGCAUCUUCACCGGCAGCUGGAGCAUCUCCACCCUUGGUGUUUCUGGUGUAAAUUACUUGAGCUCUGUGGUUUGAAACCAGUUUAAUAAGUCCUUUACUGAGGAGCUCCUGAAGGGCUGCCCUGGCCAGAGAACCUUGAAUCUUCAGUCUCUCAGAGACAACAGCUGGAGUUAUAAGCUUAUAGUUGGGAACCUCCCUGUCGCUUUGUCAAACAACACCAGAUUAUUGACCUUGUCUCGAACUUUGCUUUUGGACCACUUCUUCUUUUUGGCCUUGCCCCCAGAUUUGUUCACUGGAUCUUCGUCCUUUUUGGCUGACUUUCCGGCAUCUUUCUUCUUGUCGUCCUUGGGUGGCAUAGCGAAGCUCAGAGAGCAACAGCCACCCCUGCAGCCUCACUAAGAUGUCGGAUAAAAAAAAAAAAAAGAAAAUAAUAAUCUUUAUGUUAGAUUUUGAGAUUACAUGAGUAAUGUAUCCUAUCCCCAACAACAUUUCAUCAAUGGAUGAAGUAUCCACUGAUUAACCUUGAGUAAACUAGUUGUUAAAUGAUGGAGGAAAAAUAGUGUUGUUUUUUUUUCCUCCUAAUUUGAUCAUUCUUCUAUACUUUUUGGUUAGCCUUCUUUUUUGAAGAGCUUUUUCUCUCUUGCUACCUUCCAUUUUUGUUAUUGCUACAUACAUGAAAAUAUCUUUUAUUUAAUGUGUUAUAAUCUACUAUGUUCUUUUUGCUCAAAAUGUACAAAUUUGGCCAGUGGGAAUCACUUCAAGCUGCUCUUGUGCCACUUUGCCAUGUCCUCAUUAAUCUUUGAGUACUUGCUUGCUUUCCGGCACUAAAAUUUCAGGCUCACCCAGUACUUUUCUUGGAAUCAGCCAUCCUCCAAGGAGCCCUGAAGGGGCAAAAUUCAGGGUUAGAUGUGUUCACUGUUAUGGACUAUCAUUGGCUCCCUUUCAGUGGUAAGAAUGGGAAGUAGGCAUUUCUUAAAUGCCUCAAAUUCAUACUGAAACUUCCAAUUCUAAUCCAGUAUCACUACCUUUUCCUUACCUUCCUCAUUUCAUAUUUUUAAUAUUUUGAUUUUCCUCUUUACAAUAAUAAUACUGAUUCCCAACUACAUCAACAUAUUUUUAAUUUAGAUCCACCAAAACAUAGUUUUAGAAUUAUUAUAUCCAUAACCACCACCAACAACAAAACUCACAUUCUUUGUAGUUCUUUUUGUCCUCCUAAUGCAUCCCACUAGGCAUGUAUAGUCAGAAUAAUGGGUUCUUUAAAAAAAAUUCCUAAUUUUGUUGCACAAAAUUCUGUUGCACAAAAAUGUGGCUUGCUAUGUACACAAUUUUGAUCUAGGUAUGCAUGCUGUAGAUAUCAAUCCAUUGUAGUUCACAGAGUUCUUCCUUACUUGUUUUAUGUCUCCAUAGAACUCCAUUGUCUUAUUCCAGCAGAUCACUAUGGGUUGGCAUUUAAAGGAUUUUUUCAAAUUUAUUUAUUUGAGAGAGAUAAAGUGAGCAUGAGAGGAUGGGAAGAGAGGGAGAGGGAGAAGCAGACUCCCCAGGGAGCAGGGAGUCUGAUAUGGGGCUCAAUCCCAGGACCCCAGAAUCGUGACCUGAACCAAAGCAGAUGCUUAACGGACUAAGCCACCCAGGUGACACACUAUGGGUUGGGAUUUCGAUUGCUUCUGAUGUUUAACUAUUACCACAAUGAAUAAUUCCUGUGCCUAUGUUGUUUUGUGUUUUUAAAAGUGUAUCUUCAGGUCUAUCUUUCAAAUGAGAUUUCUCAAUUAAAGGAUAAAUAUCCAAAUUCCCUCUUUAUCUGAAUUGUAUUAUUUAAGACCCUGCCACUAAUAAAGAAAAAUGUCUACCUCCCUAUAUUCUCACCAACAGCGUCAAGUCCUCAGAUUCUUGCUUAUCUGGUAAGUGAGAAGUAACAGCUUCAGUUUGUAUUUCUCUUGUGAUAAAUAUGUGCAUAUUUUCUGUAGUCCAUGUCUAUGACUGAUUUCUCCAUUUUUUUCUUAGCUUUUAGAAGUGUUUUUGUAAAUCUCAUUGUCAAUAACACUUUAUAUAUAGGAUAGAUUAGCCCCUUCUCAGUGACAAACGUUUCCCCCUGCAGUUUAUCAGUUAUCUUUGCAUGUGAUUUUUCCUUAUUUGUUGUUGUUGUAUUAUACAAGUCUAUUUAUUUUUGUAUUGAAUUUAAUAAUCUUUUAUUUUAUUGAAUAAAAUAGUCACUCAUGGUCAUGGAGAUACUCAGCUCAGAUCUCCCUUAAGAAGAGCUA
Molecule: long non-coding RNA, 2468 nt
Filed under: Canis lupus familiaris (dog)
Lineage: Eukaryota; Metazoa; Chordata; Mammalia; Carnivora; Canidae
Description: lncRNA (ENSCAFG00040015701.1)
Source: RNAcentral